This 529-nucleotide ribosomal RNA is filed under the name Bacillus altitudinis. Its description in RNAcentral is "bacterial SSU rRNA". It matches the Rfam family "Bacterial small subunit ribosomal RNA", at positions 96 to 611 of the family's 1533-position model. Lineage: Bacteria; Bacillati; Bacillota; Bacilli; Caryophanales; Bacillaceae. The record is from RNAcentral.
CGGCGGACGGGUGAGUAACACGUGGGUAACCUGCCUGUAAGACUGGGAUAACUCCGGGAAACCGGAGCUAAUACCGGAUAGUUCCUUGAACCGCAUGGUUCAAGGAUGAAAGACGGUUUCGGCUGUCACUUACAGAUGGACCCGCGGCGCAUUAGCUAGUUGGUGAGGUAACGGCUCACCAAGGCGACGAUGCGUAGCCGACCUGAGAGGGUGAUCGGCCACACUGGGACUGAGACACGGCCCAGACUCCUACGGGAGGCAGCAGUAGGGAAUCUUCCGCAAUGGACGAAAGUCUGACGGAGCAACGCCGCGUGAGUGAUGAAGGUUUUCGGAUCGUAAAGCUCUGUUGUUAGGGAAGAACAAGUGCAAGAGUAACUGCUUGCACCUUGACGGUACCUAACCAGAAAGCCACGGCUAACUACGUGCCAGCAGCCGCGGUAAUACGUAGGUGGCAAGCGUUGUCCGGAAUUAUUGGGCGUAAAGGGCUCGCAGGCGGUUUCUUAAGUCUGAUGUGAAAGCCCCCGGCUCA